AGCGAACGCUGGCGGCAGGCCUAACACAUGCAAGUCGAACGGCAGCACAGGAGAGCUGGCUCUCUGGGUGGCGGGGGGCGGACGGGUGAGGAAUACAUCGGAAUCUGUCCAGUCGUGGGGGAUAACGUAGGGAAACUUACACUAAUACCGCAUACGACCUGCGGGUGAAAGAGGGGGAUCGCAAGACCCCGCGCGAGUGGAUGAGCCGAUGGCUGAUCAGCUAGUUGGCGGGGUAGUGGCUCACCAAGGCUUUGAUGGGUAGCCGGCCUGAGAGGGUGAACGGCCACAUUGGGACUGAGAUACGGCCCAGACUCCUACGGGAGGCAGCAGUGGGGAAUAUUGCACAAUGGGCGGAAGCCUGAUGCAGCAACGCCGCGUGCGGGAUGACGGCCUUCGGGUUGUAAACCGCUUUCGCCUGUGACGAAGCGUGAGUGACGGUAAUGGGUAAAGAAGCACCGGCUAACUACGUG
Molecule: ribosomal RNA, 470 nt
Filed under: uncultured bacterium
Lineage: Bacteria
Description: partial 16S ribosomal RNA
Rfam family: Bacterial small subunit ribosomal RNA
Source: RNAcentral